UCCUCCGUGCCGCAGUAACGCAUUAAGCACCCCGCCUGGGGAGUACGGCCGCAAGGUAAAACUCAAAGAAUUGACGGGGGCCCGCACAAGCGGCGGAGCAUGUGGAUUAAUUCGAUGCAACGCGAAGAACCUUACCUGGGCUUGACAUGCACCGGAAACCUGCAGAGAUGUAGGCCUCUUCGGACUGGUGUACAGGUGGUGCAUGGCGGUCGUCAGCUCGUGUCGUGAGAUGUUGGGUUAAGUCCCGCAACGAGCGCAACCCUCGUUCCAUGUUGCCAGCGCGUUAUGGCGGGGACUCAUGGGAGACUGCCGGGGUCAACUCGGAGGAAGGUGGGGAUGACGUCAAGUCAUCAUCCCCCUUAUGUCCAGGGCUUCACCCAUGCUACAAUGGCCGGUACAGAGGGCUGCUAACCCGUGAGGUGGAGCGAAUCCCACAAAGCCGGUCUCAGUUCGGAUCGGGGUAUGCAACUCGACCCCGUGAAGUCGGAGUCGUUAGUAACCGCAGAUCAGCAACGCUGCGGGGAAUACGUUCCCGGGCCUUGUACACACCGCCCGUCACGUCACGAAAGU
Molecule: ribosomal RNA, 570 nt
Filed under: Saccharothrix sp. T31902BO0
Lineage: Bacteria; Bacillati; Actinomycetota; Actinomycetes; Pseudonocardiales; Pseudonocardiaceae
Description: SSU rRNA
Rfam family: Bacterial small subunit ribosomal RNA
Source: RNAcentral